This 433-nucleotide ribosomal RNA is filed under the name uncultured bacterium. Its description in RNAcentral is "partial 16S ribosomal RNA". It matches the Rfam family "Bacterial small subunit ribosomal RNA", at positions 29 to 507 of the family's 1533-position model. The record is from RNAcentral.
AACGAACGCUGGCGGCAUGCCUAACACAUGCAAGUCGAACGAGACCUUCGGGUCUAGUGGCGCACGGGUGCGUAACGCGUGGGAACCUGCCCUUAGGUUCGGAAUAACUCCCCGAAAGGGGUGCUAAUACCGGAUAAUGUCUUCGGACCAAAGAUUUAUCGCCUUUGGAUGGGCCCGCGUUGGAUUAGCUAGUUGGUAGGGUAAAAGCCUACCAAGGCGACGAUCCAUAGCUGGUCUGAGAGGAUGAUCAGCCACACUGGGACUGAGACACGGCCCAGACUCCUACGGGAGGCAGCAGUGGGGAAUAUUAGACAAUGGGGGAAAGCCUGAUCUAGCCAUGCCGCGUGAGUGAUGAAGGCCUUAGGGUUGUAAAGCUCUUUUACCCGGGAUGAUAAUGACGGUACCGGGAGAAUAAGCCCCGGCUAACUCCGUG